This 520-nucleotide ribosomal RNA is filed under the name uncultured Glomeromycotina. RNAcentral's name for it is "SSU rRNA". It matches the Rfam family "Eukaryotic small subunit ribosomal RNA", at positions 569 to 1088 of the family's 1831-position model. Lineage: Eukaryota; Fungi; Glomeromycota. The record is from RNAcentral.
AGCAGCCGCGGUAAUUCCAGCUCCAAUAGCGUAUAUUAAAGUUGUUGCAGUUAAAAAGCUCGUAGUUGAAUUUCGGGAUCAAUGCGUCGGUCGUGCUUUCGGGUACGUACUAGCGUCGUUGGUUUCUCCUUUCUGACGAGCCGUGAUGUCAUUAAUUUGGUGUUACGGGUAGUUAGGACUGUUACUUUGAAAAAAUUAGAGUGUUUAAAGCAGGCAUUAGCUUGAAUACAUUAGCAUGGAAUAAUGAAAUAGGACGUUCGAUCCUAUUUUGUUGGUUUCUAGGAUCAACGUAAUGAUUAAUAGGGAUAGUUGGGGGCAUUAGUAUUCAAUUGUCAGAGGUGAAAUUCUUGGAUUUAUUGAAGACUAACUACUGCGAAAGCAUUUGCCAAGGAUGUUUUCAUUAAUCAAGAACGAAAGUUAGGGGAUCGAAGACGAUCAGAUACCGUCGUAGUCUUAACCAUAAACUAUGCCGACUAGGGAUCGGAUGAUGUUAAUUUUUUAAUGUACUCAUUCGGCGCCU